Molecule: ribosomal RNA, 106 nt
Filed under: Candidatus Kaiserbacteria bacterium RIFCSPHIGHO2_01_FULL_55_37
Lineage: Bacteria; Candidatus Kaiseribacteriota
Also listed under: 2 other names
Source: RNAcentral
UCUGGUGGUUUAUCGCUGGGGUCACACCCGUUCUCAUUCCGAACACGGUAGUUAAGCCCGGUUGAGGCGAUGGUAGUCGCAAGGCAAGAGUAGCUAACCGCCAGAA